Molecule: long non-coding RNA, 4121 nt
Filed under: Xyrichtys novacula (pearly razorfish)
Lineage: Eukaryota; Metazoa; Chordata; Actinopteri; Labriformes; Labridae
Source: RNAcentral
GGCUUAACCAUCUUACCUUGGUGUGCUACGGCAGGCCAUAGUUGUGGUCUUUCUCUCUGAGAAGGCUGUCAAACUGACGGUGUUUCCGGCCUCUAGAUUGGAGGAAAUUAACAGUUUGGACAACCACCUUCAUGACGUUAUCCAUCUUUAAUGCCUUGCAACACAAAGCCUCCUGAUGCAAAAUACAGUGAAAUGUCCAAAAUUCCGUCCCCCAUUUGCAGUCUGAACUUUUUCUCUGAACUCACAACACCUGCUUUUUCCCGAUCAUUGAGGGCACACCAUCCGUAGUCAGGCUAACAGCAGGGGACCAGUCCACUCUGAGCCUGUCCAGCACACCCAUGAGUGUGGUGUAAAUAUCAGCUGCUGUUGUGGUGUCCGUCAUUGGCACCAACUCCACGAACUCCUCGGUGACGGUCAAAGUGCCAUUAACUCCGCAGCCUUUAGCAUGCAUGUUUUCACAAAUUCAUCCUCAUUAAAUGGUUUUGAAGCAACUGCUAUUUCAUUAGCAAUAAGGUAGCUAGCUUGUGUCACUGAUUUCUCGGCUAUGAGUAAACACAGACUGCUGUUUCUUCAGAACCACCAAAAGUUCAUUCACCUUCUCUCUUGUCCUUGAAAGUUGUUGUAUUUGUUGGCAUGAGGAGUCUCAUAGUGGCGACAAAGAUUAUAUUCUUUUAGCACUGAAACAUGCUGUGAACACACCAAACACACAGCUUUCCCAUUCACUUCCUUGAAUUAGGAGGAUGACCAUUUUUCCUGGAACACUCUGCACUCUGCAUCCACUUUUCUCUUUUUUGACAGACAUCUUGGGGCAUUGAGGGGGCAAAAGUGUGACAUGUCCAAAGUAGAAGACGUAAAAGAGCAGACACAACACAAGGUAGCUCCAGAUUAGCUGUACUUGCUUAGAAAACCUGCUCAGUCCACUUUAUAAACAGUUUGCUUGCUUAACAAAAUUGCUAUUGUGACAUCCAGUGGACACAUUUUGAAGAGCAAUUUGUUUCAUGAAAAAAUUACAGCUCAUCUUUAUACUUUGCAAAGUCAUCUCAUGGGCUGGAUUAAACCCAUUUGCGGGCCUGAUCCAGCCCAUGGGCUGUAAGAAUGACAACCCUGCUGUAAAGCGUACCAACUUGUCCUUCUGAUCGGUCAUAGCUGUAUUCGAGCAGUCGCUCACGGUCCAGAGUUUUUUCCUAUACAACAUGAAGUUUGUCAGCAACAAGCCUUUUGUGGGCACUAGUGAGAUAUCAAGAUUCCUAUUUAAAGUGAAUGGAGCCGCUGAAAACAUGGGGUGGUCUCCAUAUUUGGAGUUUGAUUGUGAUGUCAUACUUUGAGGUAGAAAUUUAGAUGAGACCUGAACCCUUCAACCUGUGAAAACCGCAUUUCAAUAUCUCUUACAGUUUUCCUAGAAAGUGGGUUUGUUUGGGCCAGUCCUGUUCUAAGCAGGUAGAGGCUCAGUGAGGAAAAGUCUGUCACAGGUGAACUGCAGGUGCACUGUCACCAUAGAGACAAUUCCCACUCAGAGCACAAGGCCUGCCCACCUGGUCUUGAUUGACAGCUGUCUUCCAGACACAACAACACAGAGACAGCCGGAUUACCAAAGUUUCAAGUCAGAUUCAUGACAAAGGCUCUAAAUCAUCAACGCUUUGACAUAUCAGCACCAUAUUUGACACAUCCCCUUGUGACACCACUCUGAAGACAUGUCCCACUCUGCAGCCAUCUUGGAUGACCCCACCAUCCCCAAACAGGAAGUAGCCCUCAUGUAUCUCCACCCAAAACAUGGCCUAAAUGUGAGUAAAUCAGCAGCAAGCAGCAGCGAAUCAGCAAGCGGGUAGGCACAUUUUAAAAUUUCCCUGGAAUUUUCUAGUUGUCCUUGUUCUUGCUUUAUUUAGUUCAGUUAUAGUUCUAUGGUAAAAACUGUUCUUGAGUCUGGAGGUGCAGGAUCUGAGUGCCCUGUAGUGCCUUCCAGAGGGUAGCAUGGAAUACAGGUGAUGACUGAGGUGGCUGGGAUCUCUGAGUAUGUUGGUGGUGGUGCGAAGGCAGUGUGUUUUGAAGAUGUCUUCCAGUGAGGGUAGACUGAGUCCAAUGAUCUUUUCUGAUGUUCUUAUGACUCCUUAAAGGCUUGGGUAAGACUUACUUUUGUUGCCCCCAAGUCAAAGACAGUCAAAGUCAGGCUGAAACCUUUGCCUCAUUUCAGUUCAGAGUCUCCAACUCUGCAGACCAAUUCCAGAGAAAGUCAGCCAUGGGGCAGCCUGAGCAGAUUCAAGGAUUAAAUUAGGUUCACAUGACAUGAUACGUAGAAACAAAUAUAAUCAGUGGAGGGAGGAGGGGAAUUGUAAGAACAGUCUCUGUGCUGUAGUGGCUGACUGACCCAGCUGCUCUCAGAUCACACAAAUAAAAUUGCAUCUGAUAACCGACUCAUACUUUCUCUUUAUCGACUAUUCUCUUCUUUUUACUGUUUUUAUCUUCUCUUCCACUUCUUCAUUUUACAUGAAGUUUGAUUGCCUUUCUUUUUGUCCGUCUUGAACUGACCUAAAUUUUAGUUUAGUUCACAAAGAGCAAAUCUGCAAAGGUAAUCUCUGUCCUCGAAAUUUAUGGAACAUUCAUCUAAUCUCCCUUUCCCUUUCGGAUUAAAAAAAGAGAGGGGGAUGACUGUAAGAGUAAAACAAUCCCAAACAAAAUAUUUGUAAGGAAACAUCUCAUGGAUCUAGUAAGAUAUUUGAGUCACCAGAGAAAAGGAGUGUUUUCCCACUCCUGUUAGAGGUAGAAGUUAAUCUCAGAUGGUGCAGGUAAGGUAGGUGGUCAGGGUGAGAACAGGGCCAGCCAGCCUGGAAGGUUUUGGAGACUCUGUGUCCGGUUCAAGGACAAACCAGCACAGAUGUACAUGUCAAAAGGGUUUUUCUGUUAUCAAUCACUGUUGGCUGGUGGGCUCAGGUCAAUGAAAGGUUACCUGCAGGCCACUGAAGUUCAACUUUUAGACUCACGACAGCACCUGAAAUGCAAUUUAAUGUAAGACAGGAAAGCACAACACAAACAGAACUAUACACACACUACAGGCCAAAAGUUUGGAAGCAAGGCCAUUACAGGCUGAACAGCUGGGAGUAACUUCAAGUUUUUUGUUCACAAUGCUUUUUUUAAAAUCCAGCAUGAGUAGUAUGUAUUUUGGGAUGUAUUUACUCCAUGAUCAGAUGUUGCUUUCAUGGAAAUGCACCAUUUUACUCCAUUUACCUUUGGAUAUACAUUGAUGUUAACGGACCAUUGCUAGAUAUAUGUCAGCAAAAGAUAAGGGCUUAGUUUUAGGGUUGCAAGAGUCACAACUUCAGUGCAAAAGCAAAAAAAAACAAAUCACAGUUGGAUUAUUCACUUCAAUUUUUUGGCUUUUGAGAGCCUGCAUACAAAAAUCCUAAUAAAUCUCAACUGCAUUCAAAAUACUACAAAAAUGGCUAGAAAGAAGCAACUGAGUAAAGAAACAAAAGUACAGAUUUGUACAUUGAGGAAAGCAGGAUACACAGAAAGAGAAAUUGGCCUUAAGGUGUUUAACAAAGGAGUCCACUACACUCUGAAGAGACUAGAGUAACCUGGAAGUUAUGAUGAUCGAAAAAGGCCUAGAUGAAAGAGAGUUAGCAUUGUCAUCAGUAAGAGAGAUCACCGAAAGACAGCACCACGAAUAAGGGAGGAAAUCUACAUGACAAGGUUGAAACCCAUAUUUCUGACAACUGUGAAAAGACGUUUGAGAAAGGCCGGUCUGAAGGGUUGUGUAUCUGCAAAAAACACUGCUUCGUCCACAGAACAAGAAAAAGAGAUAUGAGUGGGCAAAAGCUCACAAAAAUUGGACUUAUGAUGACAAGAAACAAGUUUGCACUGUUUGGUUCAAAACGCAGAGUCUAUGUCUGCAGACAAACUGGUGAACGUCUGAAAGUACCACGUGUUACACCCACAAUUCAGCAUGGAGGUGGUAGUUCCAUGGUAUGGGGAUGUUUUGCAGGUGAUGGAGAAGGAGAUUUGUUUGAAGUAAAGGGUAUCAUGAAGAAGGAACAAUACCACUCCAUCCUCCAGCACCAUGCUGUUCCAUCUGGACUCAGACCUGUGGCUCAUAAGUUUUUUUUUGCAGCAAGACAAUGACCCAAAGC